Molecule: transfer RNA, 73 nt
Filed under: Dipodomys ordii (Ord's kangaroo rat)
Lineage: Eukaryota; Metazoa; Chordata; Mammalia; Rodentia; Heteromyidae
Rfam family: tRNA (bases 6-67)
About the family: Transfer RNA (tRNA) molecules are approximately 80 nucleotides in length. Their secondary structure includes four short double-helical elements and three loops (D, anti-codon, and T loops).
Source: Rfam by way of RNAcentral
GGGAAGGUGGCUCAGUGGUAGAGUGCUUGCCUUGCAUGCAUGAGGCCCUGGGUUCGAUUCCUCAGCCACGCCC